This 1114-nucleotide long non-coding RNA is filed under the name Cucumis sativus (cucumber). RNAcentral's name for it is "long non-coding RNA (CSAT_LNC003144)". The record is from RNAcentral. Lineage: Eukaryota; Viridiplantae; Streptophyta; Magnoliopsida; Cucurbitales; Cucurbitaceae.
GUAGACACCUAGCCCACUAAGUUCCACUAAUUGUUAGUGGAACAUUAGGUGUUGAGAUUUGACAAAUUAAUUACAGCAUUUUUGCAUGUAAUUAGGUUAUAAAUAGGGGUGUUUUCAAAUGGUUGAAAACUUUUGCCUUUUUUAAUAUACUCCAAAAUGUCAACCAAGAAAAAAAAUACUUCUACCUUCCAAUUUCCUUUUAUCUCCAUUACUUUCUACAUCAAAUUGGGUCCCACAACCCAGUUCUUUGUCCAGAGGAUAGUAGUUGAGCAUUAGUGGUGAUCUCGGUUUGAAUUGAUAAGGAGGUAUCAAAGUUUUUUGAAAGCUUCAAAGGUAAUAUUUUCUAAAGCCCUAAUUUGAUUAGUUUAGGGUUACUUGUUAAUUGUGCCAUUUAGGGUAGAAAUUUGAUUCUUUUUCCGCUGUGCAUGUCUUAGUUCUAUCAUGUGGUAUCAGAGCAUGCUUCAAUUUUACCCAAUUGCAUGUGAUGGGUUCAUAUUUAUUAGAUAAAUUUUGGUUGGAACUAAAAUGAAUAUAUUAUGAUUUUGGCCCUAUAUUAAGUGUUUUUGUUCUAAUUAUUGUAAUUAGUCUUGUUAAUGGCUUAUUUUUAUUGUUGAAAAGUGUUUGUAAUUUUUUUUUUAAAAAAUAGUCAUUAGAGUUGAAGUUAGGCUGUAAUUGGUUCAACCGGGUGAGGGAAUUGAAAAAAAAUGAAGAAAAGAAUGUCACAGACCCGAAAACCCGGUCAUGACCCGCCUCGCGACCCGCCAGCAACCUGCACCCGCGCACCUGCUUGCGCCCAACCCGUGAGCGUCUGGGCUUGUUGGUUAAUUGGGCCGGUUCAAGCCCAAUAAAUUUGGUUUUUGAGCCAGUUCAAGCUGUUUCUGUUGGUUUUUCAGCCAGUUCGAAGUUUUUUGGGAGUGGUUUUGUACUACACCAAAUUAAUUAUGUAAUAAUUUAGUACUUAGCUUAAUUUAGGAGCCAAAAAUCAGUCCAUUUUAGGGUGUUUUUUUUUAAUUUAUGCAUGUGAUCUAUGAUUUAAUUACUUUAAAUUUGUAUGUGCAUUUUGAAUGUCAUAUAGAUUUAAAAUCCCACCAUAGGUCAUGUUCAUGCAUUAAAA